Molecule: long non-coding RNA, 2953 nt
Filed under: Homo sapiens (human)
Lineage: Eukaryota; Metazoa; Chordata; Mammalia; Primates; Hominidae
Description: HSALNT0339889
Rfam family: HOX antisense intergenic RNA myeloid 1 conserved region 5 (bases 877-1021)
Source: RNAcentral
AAGGAAGGUACAUUUCAAAUAUGUUAGUCACCCUUUCAGUCUUCUGUAUUCUGUUCUCCACGUACCGAAGUUCCCCCAAACCUGUCCUCUCAAGAGAAAAAACCCAUGCUGACUCUGGACUCCCUCAGUAACAAUGAAACAUUCUCCCCAAACAUUUCCUUUCAGAAUAGUAUUUGUGACUUUGAUCCAUCCCAAGCAUGGUUAAGAGGGAGCACGGGCAGGAAAGGCCCACUUUCUGGGGUUGGGCAGCCACCCCUGCCCCAGUUUCGGCUCCUGGGAAUCCUCCGACUGGAGAAGGGGAAAGGCAAGGCAGUCCUCCUGGAGGCGGCUUCCUUGGGAGCACCAGCUUCCAGCGGCGGGGAGAGAAGGAGCUCCUGUGGGAGAGGGGGCAGGAUAAAGCGUUUGAUUUAUGAGCGUAGGACGAAUCGCAUCCAGGAGCUGCGCAGCCCUGGCCGCUGCCGGGACGCCCUGCUCCGCGCUGAGCUUGGGGCCAGAAACCAGCCAUAGUCCCCACACUCCGCCGCCGCAGCUGAGAUUUAGCGGAGGAAGGGGCGAGGGAAGGUAGGGAGCAAACCUAUGAAGAAACAUCGCGUUGUCAUUGGAACUUCCAAGCCUUUGCUGUUAAGAGCCAGGUUCUUAAAUCAACCCGCCCCACACACAUGUUGCUUACAUGCUGCGUUUUCUCACGGUCUGUUUUGCCUGAACCCAUCAACAGCUGGGAGAUUAAUCAACCACACUGAAAAUGUGGAGGGAUUUAUGGGGGAGGGGGUUGAAAUGUGGGUGUUUGAAACAAAAGUGUAUAAACAAAUGAAUUGUUGAUAACUUAGUUAUUGACCUGGAGACUGGUAGCUUAUUAAAGAAACUCCGUGUUACUCAUUCCUGGAGUUGGGGGUUUCUGUAGGCACUUUAUUUCUCCACUUUCAAGAGCUUGGGCUUGGCCCAAAUCUUAGACUGUCCAAUUCUGCCUCUAUUACCAAUUUAAAUCUAUGGCUUGAACCUGUGCACUGAAAAUCAAAUCCUUUAAAAAGAAAGAGGAGAAGAAGAAGCAAAAAAGAAAGAAAAAACACUUAUUAGAAGCCCUAGUCAUUUUUUGGCUUUCUGUUUUGUUGCUGUCCAUUGAAGACUUUGAACAUGCCGCCUUAAUAAAUGUAUUAAAAUUGAAAAAAGAGGAUAAAUUGUGACGAAUUUUAUUUACGAAGUUAGACUAAAAGAAGAAAAAGAACCCGUUAUGAGCCUUGAAAAAAGAGGGGGAGAAAAAUAAGCUACUUAUAGCAAAGGAGAAUUUAUUCUACAAAAAAUAUGCAUGACAAUGCAUCCCAAUGUAAUACAAAAAUAAAAAGAAAGUGAAGAUACAAUUAUAUGAUCACUUUCUUGCAGGCCUCAUACUGCUCUCAGGAAUCACAUAAAGGGUUGUUGAGUUAGGUUUAAAACAACUAAAACUCCAAAAUAAUCUGUAAAAGAUGGCUCUGUUUGAAACUGGGUCAGGGAAUCACUAAACAGAAAAUCCUCAACACUUAAAGGAGGGAAGGGGUAGGUCAAGAAGAAAAUAAAAAAUAAACUCCCAAAUAAAAGAAGGCAAAACCACCUGGUCAAAGGAGUUUUUGUUUGGUGAUGCUUUGUUUUGCUUUAAUGUUUUUAGUAAUUCAGAUGCUGCAAGUCGAUUGUGGUGAGUGUGUCUGUAAAAAAGUCUAAGCUGUCAGCUGAAAUAUCUACGGGACUGUCGAGGGAACCUGGCAAACUGGGUGAAACUGCAUCUGAAAGCUGCAGGCAGGAAUCUGUGGAGAAAACGCUAAAGUCCUGCAAAGAGGGGACCUCAAGGGCCUCAGGACUGUCAUUGUUUAGGCCAGCUCCACAGUUCUGGCCCAUUGUUGACAAGCAGUUGGGAACAGUGGGUGACUGGUGCUGAAAAUGUUUCAGAUUUUUCUCAUUGCUGGUUAAAGGCGAGACUGGGAAACUUUGGGAGUCGCCAUUGUGUCCAUUGGGAGCCUGCUGCUGAGAGAGGGCAUUUUGCUGAAAAGUGUAGCCUUCCCUCUCCAGAAGGGCCCCAGAGACGCUAAGGGCUUGCUCAAAGAGCGUCUUCUCUUCCUCGUCCUCCUCUACUUUCUCGGAGUCCUCAAGGCUUUUACAUUUCCCUUCGCUGUUUUGGUUUUCCUUGCACUGGGUCUGCCUCUUGUGCUUCAUCCUCCGGUUCUGAAACCACACUUUCACUUGUCUCUCAGUCAAAUCCAGCAGCGCUGCAAUCUCCACCCUUCGGGGUCUGCAAAGGUACUUGUUGAAAUGAAAUUCUUUUUCCAGCUCUAGAAGCUGUGUGUUGGUGUAAGCAGUUCUCAGGCGCCGCGAUCCCCCGCCGCUGCCAUCGGCGAUUUCCAGGGAUUCUGCGGAAAGGGAAACCAACAAGAGACACACGCACAGUUGGAGGUGGAGGGGUCCGAGCGGGGUUAUUCCACUGGAGAAUAAAUAUAGCAGAAAAGAUCAACUGCAACAAAAUGGCCGCCCCUGGAUGCAGUAGAGCUAUUGUGCUGCCUUUCCUGGGAGCCCAGCCUGGGCAGACCCCGUCUCCUCCAUCUCUAUCGAAUUCAUGCCUGUGGCUCCCCCCAACCUCUUCAUCCGGGAGCAAACUUUAUAUUAGCCACAACACAAUUUAUAAUUAAUGCGUCAGCUGCUUAGCUGAGCAAGAGCGAUCUAUCACUCUUCAUUACUGUCAAAAAGCCAAACUCUAGGACAACUAGACAGGAGGAGGUCAGUUCCAACUCAAAUAAAUCAUCCCACAUUACACAAGUUCGGGAAAGUUUCCCCCCACUUCCUAAAAAUAUAUAUGUCUCAUUGUAGAGCGCAGGAUCCCCUUUCCUCUCCAUCAAACCCACUCCUGAACCCACAGGGGCAGGGACAAGGCAACCAAGCAUCUCUCCCUCUCCUCCUUCUCUCCCAGCCCACUCUCCCCUCCCCCCACAGC